This 496-nucleotide ribosomal RNA is filed under the name uncultured bacterium. Its description in RNAcentral is "partial 16S ribosomal RNA". It matches the Rfam family "Bacterial small subunit ribosomal RNA", at positions 28 to 506 of the family's 1533-position model. The record is from RNAcentral.
GAUGAACGCUGGCGGCGUGCCUAAUACAUGCCAGUCGAGCGAACAGAUAAGGAGCUUGCUCCUUUGACGUUAGCGGCGGACGGGUGAGUAACACGUGGGUAACCUACCUAUAAGACUGGAAUAACUCCGGGAAACCGGGGCUAAUGCAGGAUAACAUGUUGAACCGCAUGGUUCUACAGUGAAAGGCGGCUUUGCUGUCACUUAUAGAUGGACCCGCGCCGUAUUAGCUAGUUGGUGAGGUAACGGCUCACCAAGGCAACGAUACGUAGCCGACCUGAGAGGGUGAUCGGCCACACUGGAACUGAGACACGGUCCAGACUCCUACGGGAGGCAGCAGUAGGGAAUCUUCCGCAAUGGGCGAAAGCCUGACGGAGCAACGCCGCGUGAGUGAUGAAGGUCUUCGGAUCGUAAAACUCUGUUAUUAGGGAAGAACAAAUGCGUAAGUAACUGUGCGCGUCUUGACGGCACCUAAUCAGAAAGCCACGGCUAACUACGU